Molecule: ribosomal RNA, 331 nt
Filed under: Marinobacter bryozoorum
Lineage: Bacteria; Pseudomonadati; Pseudomonadota; Gammaproteobacteria; Pseudomonadales; Marinobacteraceae
Description: bacterial SSU rRNA
Rfam family: Bacterial small subunit ribosomal RNA
Source: RNAcentral
GAUCUUCGGACCUUGCGCUAUUGGAUGAGCCUAAGUCGGAUUAGCUAGUUGGUGAGGUAAAGGCUCACCAAGGCCACGAUCCGUAGCUGGUUUGAGAGGAUGAUCAGCCACAUCGGGACUGAGACACGGCCCGAACUCCUACGGGAGGCAGCAGUGGGGAAUAUUGGACAAUGGGGGCAACCCUGAUCCAGCCAUGCCGCGUGUGUGAAGAAGGCUUUCGGGUUGUAAAGCACUUUCAGUGAGGAGGAAAACCUUACGACUAAUACUCGUGAGGCUUGACGUUACUCACAGAAGAAGCACCGGCUAACUCCGUGCCAGCAGCCGCGGUAAU